AAGAAAUGUUUGGUUUAUGGUCGCAGAGGGUUUGUUUCGAAGGAGGCAGAUGUCGGCUGCGUGAAAUGACAAGCCGGUGCGAGGCCGGUGCGGUCUUACCUCCACUGUAUGCGGAAUUUGUCCGCGAGUCAGGACUGUCAGCCAUGAAGCAGGUUUUGCA
RNAcentral lists this non-coding RNA (160 nucleotides) under Firmicutes bacterium CAG:238. The record is from RNAcentral. Lineage: Bacteria; Bacillati; Bacillota. RNAcentral also lists the same sequence under 1 other name.